UAUACAGGAUAUAGAGAGUGUCGGUUAACCGGGCAUGUAAGUUAAGUGGAAGUCGGUUGAGAUAGCUACGAUAUUAUUAUUCUCUCUGUUUCUACCAUUGACCUAGUUACAGGGCCCGAUUAUCUUCUCAGCUGACCCCUCUGAAGGAAAUUAUCUUCAAUCAGGCUGGUUCAUUGUUGACGUCGGCCCCUGGCCAGAAGGGAACAGAGGAACACAUAGACUUCCCAAGAAAUGAAGCCUAAUUUCUCUGCAAGAUAUACCAACUGAACCAAUUAGGAGGCACCCCUCCAAAGAAUCACCAAAUUAGAAUUCUGCACACAUGUGACCCUCUUCCUCUCCCCUUCAACUGUCUCCAUUCUAGAGGUCACCCUAUGGAAAAAGAAGGAAUCUGUCCCUGGAGCCUGGGCUCAGGAGCAUCAUAGGACACAUUCAUGUCCCCUGACAAGCUCUGAUCAUGCACCUUCAUGACCUGACCCAGUUAAUUAGCAGAGUGGGCAGCAGCAGUACUCCUGAAGUCAUUUAUACACCAGGACAGCCAACAGUCGUCUUCAACCAGAACGCAUUCCACAGAGAAAACUGACAGCCACAUAUCCGAACUGCCAGAUGGUUACAUGUGUCUACAAAACCUCCACAUCAUUGACUGUUUCCAACUUCGGCCAGGAUCUAGGGCCACAAAAUAAUCAACCUGGGGCCGCUGACCGGAAGGCAGCCCCGGAAAACUUCCCGUGGGAAGAGUUCCAGAAAUUGCCCGGACUUUAACAAGUCCCGCUGUGCUGGCUGCGAGCCUCAGACCGUCAGAGGCCACCGCGACUCGCCUUGCCCGAAUGCCAGCAAUCCCGCCGAAGCACGGAGCCCUGGACUUAGGAAACAUUCCCCGGUACAUUUUUACAGAUUUGAAAAGCAGGAAGGGAAAAACAUUUCGAGCCCAAAGGAGAAAUCUCAGAGUCCUGGGGGCACCGAGGGGCCAGCGAGGUCCCCAGGCGCUGUACACACGUCCAACCUCCCUCCUCCACGCGCCCUGCUCCCCCACCCUCUUCCCAUCCCUCCUCCCCCAGGCAGAACCCUCCCCACGCAGUGGCCAUCCCCACGCCCGCGCUGUGUCCCCUUCACGCCCCGUGCACCCACUAGCGCCUCCUGCGCGCUCCCAUGCACCCCGACGUCGCGUGGGCGCCCCCCCUUAUCCCUCACCCGGGUCCCCACUCUCUUCUGCUCAGACGGCGUAGAGGAAGCCGAUCGGGACUGGGUUCUUAGUGCGACUUGGGGGCGCGGGGACGUGGAGGGCGAGGCGGGGCAG
Molecule: non-coding RNA, 1294 nt
Organism: Macaca mulatta (Rhesus monkey)
Lineage: Eukaryota; Metazoa; Chordata; Mammalia; Primates; Cercopithecidae
Source: RefSeq, a predicted model, not a curated record